GCGUUGUCCGGAAUUAUUGGGCGUAAAGAGCUCGUAGGCGGCUGGUCGCGUCUGUCGUGAAAUCCUCUGGCUUAACUGGGGGCUUGCGGUGGGUACGGGCCGGCUUGAGUGCGGUAGGGGAGACUGGAACUCCUGGUGUAGCGGUGGAAUGCGCAGAUAUCAGGAAGAACACCGGUGGCGAAGGCGGGUCUCUGGGCCGUUACUGACGCUGAGGAGCGAAAGCGUG
RNAcentral lists this ribosomal RNA (226 nucleotides) under uncultured bacterium. Its description in RNAcentral is "partial 16S ribosomal RNA". It matches the Rfam family "Bacterial small subunit ribosomal RNA", at positions 538 to 763 of the family's 1533-position model. The record is from RNAcentral.